Molecule: ribosomal RNA, 301 nt
Filed under: uncultured bacterium
Lineage: Bacteria
Description: partial 16S ribosomal RNA
Rfam family: Bacterial small subunit ribosomal RNA
Source: RNAcentral
CAGUAGCCGCGGUAAUACGAAGGGUGCAAGCGUUAAUCGGAAUUACUGGGCGUAAAGCGCGCGUAGGUGGUUUGGUAAGAUGGAUGUGAAAUCCCCGGGCUCAACCUGGGAACUGCAUCCAUAACUGCCUGACUAGAGUACGGUAGAGGGUGGUGGAAUUUCCUGUGUAGCGGUGAAAUGCGUAGAUAUAGGAAGGAACACCAGUGGCGAAGGCGACCACCUGGACUGAUACUGACACUGAGGUGCGAAAGCGUGGGGAGCAAACAGGAUUAGAUACCCCUGUAGUCCCUGUCUCUUAUAU